Molecule: long non-coding RNA, 1564 nt
Organism: Aptenodytes forsteri (emperor penguin)
Lineage: Eukaryota; Metazoa; Chordata; Aves; Sphenisciformes; Spheniscidae
Exons: 2
Source: RefSeq, a predicted model, not a curated record
CCCCCUCCAGGUAGCUCCAUAAACACCGCUGACAUUUUCCAGCCUUGCCCUGUAAUGCACUACUGGACACAGACCCUUCACCUCUUUCUCUGGAGCUCUACGGCAGCCACCAGCACAGAGGGAGGAGAAAUCACCCUUACAGAUAUCUGGCUGUGCAAUGAAGUUAACAAGUACGUACAAAAAACAACCCCCAGUUCUGCGCAGGACCCCCGACUUUGCUGCAGUAGCACUGGAAAUUGGAGCGAAGACUGGGAGCAAGCUAACCUUCCCUACUGGCGACAGAUCCAAGCCACACAGUUUGGAUCCAGACCUCCCAGAUGCCAGAGAGCUCCACCAGUGUGGCAAGACUUUUUUCUUAUUACACAGUUGCCAGCUAUAGUAUCUGCCACCCUCUACAGCCAUUUGAUGUGCAAAGAAGCUGUCCUGCCAAUAACAUGCUGUUUCUUCAAUCUGAUGCAACACAUUUAAAUCAGGUGUGUAAAUAGAAAGUCAACGUUCAAAAGCCAGCCUGAAGCUAUUAAGCAACAAGAGAGAUUUCUUCAUAUGAAGAUGAUUUUAAACACAGAAUUUAAAAAACAUGAGAUGGGACCCAGACAAGCAACUUUGCAAAGGAAAGCCCUCUCUUCAGAUGCCACGCAGCAACAGUGAAGUGCUCUCCCACCAAGGCUUCUUUCAUCGUAACCCAGAAUGGUAACCUCAGACGCGGGGUGGCAGCUUAUCUUCAGUGGCCCCUUGAAUGCCCCCCCUUCCUGUUGACACUCAUCCUUUGGGUGGAGUCUUCAAAUGAGUUAUCUCCCAUGCACAAAGAGAUUAAAAGCCAGCAGCCUCCAGUGAAAGGCUUUCUAUCCUCUAUGCUAUGCUCCCCUGGGUAGCUUGCAAUACCUUCAAAUUUCAUAUAUAGCAUUUUCAAAGAUAAAUGAUUUAGGGGGAUUUUCAGCACGGGCAGAAUCUGCCCUGCAAGUACCACCACAGCUUUAUCCCUGCUGUUGUAAGAAACUGCAUGCAUACAUAUAGCUAUGGACUUUUCCCCAGACAAGGUGAUAUACAUCUACACAAACCCUAAACUUAAAAAUGGAAACAAAACCAGUUUAAUAUACAAAAUCCAACUAAGUGACAAUCAUACUCUACAGAAAAUAAAUCUUCUUGUUUUGGAGUUUUUAUGUUUCAGAGACUGCAUUUCAGAUUAGCAGCAGAAAACCAUAUCCUGAAGAGCCAGCCGCAGAAACCCAUUACAAACAGAUACACACUUAAAUAUGAGACAUUGCUGCCAGACAUUUUCAACAAACUGCAAACUUACUGCAUAUUCAACCAUCCUGAAUAGUCCCCAGGGACCAUUUUCUAUGGUAAUAUUCAAGAUGUGUAAGUGUCACCAUGUAGGAAGCAGCACAAUCCCAUAACCUGUUACCUAGCUUGUACACACAGUGCAAUUCAAAGCAUGUAGGUUUUUCUUUUGAAGCAGUGAAGUAGGGCUAAAAACUGCCUCCUGCAUGUAGUUAUUAAUACAGAAAAGUAGACUUAAAUCGUUGCCCACAUGUCAGAUGAAAUAAAGUCUAAUGUGGUUCUG